RNAcentral lists this ribosomal RNA (1392 nucleotides) under uncultured bacterium. RNAcentral describes it as "16S ribosomal RNA". It matches the Rfam family "Bacterial small subunit ribosomal RNA". The record is from RNAcentral.
AGAGUUUGAUCCUGGCUCAGGACGAACGCUGGCGGCGUGCCUAACACAUGCAAGUCGAGGGGCAUCGCGGUGCGGCAACGCACCGGCGGCGACCGGCGCACGGGUGAGUAACGCGUAUCCGACCUGGCCUUCACUUUGGGAUAGCCCCUCGAAAGAGGGAUUAAUACCGGAUAUGUGGGAGCGGUACAUGGCACUCCCACGAAAGAUUUAUCGGUGAAGGAUGGGGAUGCGUCCCAUUAGCUUGUUGGCGGGGCAACGGCCCACCAAGGCGACGAUGGGUAGGGGUACUGAGAGGUAGGUCCCCCACAUUGGAACUGAGACACGGUCCAAACUCCUACGGGAGGCAGCAGUGAGGAAUAUUGGUCAAUGGGCGAGAGCCUGAACCAGCCAAGUAGCGUGAAGGAAGACUGUCCUAUGGAUUGUAAACUUCUUUUCCGGGAGGGUAAAGUGGGGGACGGGUCCCCUAUUGCAAGUAUCCCGGGAAUAAGCAUCGGCUAACUCCGUGCCAGCAGCCGCGGUAAUACGGAGGAUGCGAGCGUUAUCCGGAUUUAUUGGGUUUAAAGGGAGCGUAGGCGGACGAUUAAGUCAGUGGUUAAAUUGUGUGGCUCAACCAUACCGUGCCAUUGAUACUGGUUGUCUUGAGUGUACAAGAGGUGGAUGGAAUUCAAGGGUGUAGCGGUGAAAUGCUUAGAUAUCUUGAAGAACUCCGAUUGCGAAGGCAGUUCACUGGGGUACAACUGACGCUGAUGCUCGAAGGUGCGGGGAUCAAACAGGAUUAGAUACCCUGGUAGUCCGCACAGUAAACGAUGAAUACUCGCUGUCGGCGAUAGACAGUCGGCGGCCAAGCGAAAGCAAUAAGUAUUCCACCUGGGGAGUACGCCGGCAACGGUGAAACUCAAAGGAAUUGACGGGGGCCCGCACAAGCGGAGGAACAUGUGGUUUAAUUCGAUGAUACGCGAGGAACCUUACCCGGGCUUGAACCGCAGACGGCUGCCACAGAGACGUGGUUUCCCUUCGGGGCGUCUGUAGAGGUGCUGCAUGGUUGUCGUCAGCUCGUGCCGUGAGGUGUCGGCUUAAGUGACAUAACGAGCGCAACCCUUGCCGUCAGUUGCCAUCACUUCGGGUGGGCACUCUGUCGGGACUGCCAUCGUAAGAUGCGAGGAAGGUGGGGAUGACGUCAAAUCAGCACGGCCCUUACGUCCGGGGCUACACACGUGUUACAAUGGAGGGUACAGAAGGCAGCCACCUGGCGACAGGGCGCGAAUCCCCAAAACCUUCCUCAGUUCGGAUCGGAGUCUGCAACCCGACUCCGUGAAGCUGGAUUCGCUAGUAAUCGCGCAUCAGCCAUGGCGCGGUGAAUACGUUCCCGGGCCUUGCACACACCGCCCGUCA